Molecule: small RNA, 786 nt
Filed under: Pan troglodytes (chimpanzee)
Lineage: Eukaryota; Metazoa; Chordata; Mammalia; Primates; Hominidae
Description: retained intron
Source: RNAcentral
AUAUUUAGCCAUUUUGCUUAUACCUGCUCUAUUGAUAAGGCUUAGGAGUUUCUCAAGUAAAAUUAAUUAGAGAUUCAGCAAUGUGGCUUUAAGUAGAAUUGACUGUUUUCGUUUGUGCUAUUUUUUUCACCCACAGACUGGUUGAAAUAGCAGAAUCCCGUUUUCCCAGAUAUUUUAACACUGAAGAAAAGUUACUUUUGACAAGUAGUAAAGUUCAUCUUUAUCGGGAACUCACCUGUGAUGAAGUUCUACAAAGGAUUGAAUCUUUGGAAGAAGAAAUUAUCUCAAAAGGAAUUAAACUUGUGAUUCUUGACUCUGUUGCUUCUGUGGUCAGAAAGGAGUUUGAUGCACAACUUCAAGGCAAUCUCAAAGAAAGAAACAAGUUCUUGGCAAGAGAGGCAUCCUCCUUGAAGUAUUUGGCUGAGGAGUUUUCAAUCCCAGUAAGUUUUUCUUUUUUUCUCUUUUUUCUUUUCCUUUCUUUUGUUUCUUUUAUAUUACAUUCACUGACUUAUGGUAUCAAAUAAUAAAAUUAGAGGAAAAUGUAAAACAGAUGACUUUUUAAAGGUAGUACAGUCUAAUUGCUAUAGCAAACAUCGCCAUCAUCUUAAAUUAGCUCAUCUGCUGAGAUUAUUUUAUUCUUUUAAUAAUUUGAGUCUGGAGUAGAUUUAAAUGAUGUUUUUAAAAGUUCCUAUAGUCCCUCCUUUUCUUCCUUCUCAUUGUUUACUCUUUGUGUGUGCUUUGUAUCACAUUUCUCACACUGCAGUAAAUAUAAAGUAGUAAAACUUC